ACCCCACUUGGAGUGCCUCCUCAAUCAAAUCUGCCAUCAUGACUUCAGGUCACCCAUUUUCAUGAAUAUAUAAAUCCAAAGUUUCACUUAACGUUUUCUAGUUUCGUGACGUUGCACACCUUAUUGCUGCCUUUUUAUACUAUCAAAGUGAUAGUGCAUUUUACACUAUAACUUGUUUCUUAUAAAAAGGACCUUAUAGUAUAAUCUAUUUCUUGGACUACAAUGUACUUAAUUAUAAAUUAUAAAUCAAUAUUCUUUAAGUAACGUGAUAUAGCAAUGUAUAAACUUAUCUUUCUGUAUAUAUGCAGCAAUUCAAAGCAACAACUUGAAGGCUCCCAUAACAACGGAAUCAGGGUCGGUAGCCACACCUUAUGACUAUGGAGCAGGGGAAAUGACAACAUCUGAACCAUUGCAACCGGGGCUAGUUUAUGAAACCAGCUCCGUUGACUACUUGAACUUCUUGUGUUACAUUGGAUUCAACGUAACCACGGUUAAAGUCAUCUCCAAAACCGUCCCUCGUAAUUUCAAUUGCCCCAAGGAUUUGAGCUCUGAUCAUAUCUCUAACAUCAACUACCCUUCCAUAGCAAUAAACUUCAGUGGCAAAAGAGCCGUGAACUUGAGUAGAACUGUUACAAACGUUGGCGAAGAUGAUGAAACAGUGUACUCCCCCAUUGUUGAUGCUCCCAGUGGAGUGCAUGUCACAUUAACUCCAAAUAAACUUCGGUUUACGAAAAGUAGUAAAAAACUAAGCUACCGAGUUAUUUUUUCAUCAACUCUGACCUCCUUGAAGGAAGAUCUGUUUGGAUCUAUUACUUGGAGUAACGGUAAGUAUAUGGUUCGAAGUCCUUUUGUGUUAACUAAGUGAAUUUAAAAGUAACGAUGAAUAAAUGCUUCUUCAUGCUUUUAGUUCAGUGUUUACUAGUAUCAUUCUCUAUUGACAAAUAAAUUAGGGGUGCCAGUUUGUGAUAUUUGUUUAAUAAUUAAUAUUCCAGGUAAUCUAGUGUUCCAAGUGUUUCGUAGAUUUUCAAACGGAUAUGUAAAAAUUGAAUGCUACCUAUUAUUUCUACCUCGUCUCACAACCAAGUUAUUAUGCUUGACUUCUAACUUACUAUUAGCUAUCCAGUUAUGUUGAUCAUUUUGAAUUUUAAAAAUAAAACAUUUAAACCUUUAUAAACCUAUCUUUACCGGGAUUCUUAGAGCAGAAUUACAGAUCAUCGCAUAUAAAGUACCUAAUGUCAUAUGAGAGAAUUGAUCUGUUUCUACCUUUAGACUGGUCAAUUUGACACGAGAAAUAAUCAUACACAUGGGGAUUUAGGAAUUUAAGGAGUUUUAUAUAUAAGAAUUGCAUGAAAAAUCGAUCUCUAUAUUAUAUACUUUGGAAAAAGACUCUAACCAGCAGCUGGAUGGUGCAACUAGAUCUUGAUGUUUCACGGUCAUUAUUAACGGUGUACCAACUGAUACUAGCGUGUCCAAAAAUUUGUGAUUUAAACACCCAGACAUAUUUUGUUUUCAUUUUCAUACGAUUAAUACGCAUAGCUCCGACAUCAAUGUAGAUAUUUUCAUUAUGUUAUUCCAGCAUACCAAACGCCUCAUAUCCCAUAAGCUUUGUAUACAAAUGUGCUGCCUCUCCUUACAUGCCAUCCCAUCAUCGGCGUUAUUGCGAUGGAAUUUUCUUAACAUUUGAAACAUUGACAUACCAACUUUAUUGAUAUUUGAUAUUGAACUGAUCAAUUAAUUAGGACAUUUUGUUUCCUAUUAAUUAAUUAAUCUGGAACACCAGCUACCAGUCAGCCAUAUAGGUAUGCGGUUAUGCACUUAUGCAGAGCAAUACUGUAUACAUAUCACAAGAUCAAAUGUGGAAAAUGGACAUAGUGGCGCACUACAAUAAUUUUUAUGACUCAUGCAUAUGGAGACUGAUAACAAAAAAGUGGGCACAUACAUCCAACUUCAUCACUUGAAGACUUGAGAUUUGAGAAAGCACACUUACGUACACUAACACCUUCAAUUCCUAUGUUAGGAGAAAAAUAUAUAGCUUGCAUAAUAAUAUAUGCAAUUCUCCUCAAAUGGGUCUAUCCAUUCCAAUGGGCUUAAAAUACGGCAUCAUAAUUGACGAGUUGAUUCAUUGGUAAAAAAAGUCACUAGAUCUUUGCCCCAUAAAAACAAAAAAAUAUUGAUAUUACGUACCAAACACAAAGUUGUGUAUAACUUGCAUUUCCCCAAUGUUUCCUAUCAUCUAAUUCACUCAUGUGUGCCUUCAUCGUCGCAUAGUUAGGUCUAUUUUUUCUUUUUACAUUUAAGUUCAGGGUCUUUUUUUAGCAAUUCUUUUAUUAUUUUAGUUUUCUUUUAUAUUUUUAUUUUUAGUUUCUUGAAAAACAAAAACCCAAUUCACUCAUGCUGUACAGGUAGGACUUAUACUCAAUAUCAUUGAUUAAUCUGAAAUAUCUUCAUAACAAUUAUUCACAUAUUUGAUGAUAAAAAAAUUACAAAAGAAACUUUAUUUUUAAUUUUAAAAUUCUCCCUCAAAGCCACGGAUAUUGUUAGUUUAUUGGCAAGUGCACCAAUUUGUUCAAAUAGUAUUUUAAAAUAAAAGUUCGAGUGUCGAGUCUAUAGUAACUUUGACUAUAUUCAUAAUUUGUAUAUGUCCAAUUUUAAGCAAUUAAUGAUUUAAAUUUGAUAUUUGUUGAAUAAUGAUACAAAAUGUAAAAUUCAAGUGAAUGACAGGAUGAAGUGACAUAAAGUGCUUAGAGAGUUUACUUGCAUGUGAAAAAAUUUUAAAAAGAAAAAGACUAAAGUUAAAAUGAUAAUGCAACCAGAUUAAUACUUCUAAAGUAAAGAAUGUUUUGUAAAUAUAUUUUCAAACAAUUUAAAUAUUUUUAUUUGACUAUAUUAAUAUAAAUCAUCUCUAAUCCAUAUAUUUUUUAAUAUUAUACUCUCUUUUUUCAUUUUAUUUUGAUAUACUUUAUGUUUUAAUAACUUGAAUUCAAUAUGAUUUUGUUUAUCAAUUAUUUUUGGAUUUGUACGUUACUUAUAUAAAAUUUUAUAAGUUUUUUAAGUUAGUAUUUUACAAUAUGAUUUUAUAAAUUUUAUAAUUGGUUAAAGAUGUCUUUAGACAGACUUUGUUUUUAAAUAGGUUCGUAAACCAAGUAAGACUUUUAUGUAAAUUGGGUCCAGCCUUUUAAAAAAGUCUAUGACAGGUAAUGAAUCAAACUCAAACCUUGCGUAUUCAACUCAAACUGAACUCAACCCUAAUAAAGUUUUACUUGACUCGGCUCAUUUCCACCCCUACCCAUAACAACAGAAUUGGGAUCAUUAGCCACACCUUAUGACUAUGGAGCAGGGGCAAUUACAACAUCUGAACCAUGGCUAGUUUAUGAAACCACCACCUUUGAUUACUUGAACUAUUUGUGUUACAAUGGACUUAACAUAACCAUGGUCAAGGUCAUCUCCGGAACUGUCCCCGACAAUUUCAAUUGCCCCAAGGAUUCGAACUCUGAUCUAAUAUCCAACAUCAAUUACCCUUCCAUAGCAGUAAACUUCACUGGCAAAGCAAACGUGGUCGUGAGUAGAACUGUCACAAGCGUUGGAGAAGAAGUGAAACAGUGUACUUCCCCGUUGUUGAAGCUCUCAAAGGAGUAUUUGUCACAUUAACUCCAGAUAAACUUCAGUUUACGACAAGUAGUAAAAAACUAAGCUACCAAGUUAUUUUCACACCAAAGAAAUCCUUGAGGAAAGACCUGUUUGGAUCUAUUACUUGGAGUAACGGCAAAUAUACGGUUCGAAGUCCUUUUGUAUUAACUAAGUAGUAGUGAAAUUAAAAGUAGCGAUGAAUAAAAUGCAAACUAAUUAAGUUCUUCAUGGUGCCUAGCUACUCUCUAGUUUUCAUUAUUUCUUAUUCAUUUUUUCUCUAUUUUAAUUUAAUUAAUUAUAGUUUCAGCUUUCCAAAUAUACUUUUUUUUUUCUUUUACACGAAGCUUUCCUACUUAAUUACUACCAUGUUUACAAGUAAAAUUAGUUCUAACUUACUCACAGGCCUUUUGAUCCAGCUUAAUAUAAAAAAGAAACGAAUUACAUCUUUGCAAAGGGUAAGUGUUUGGGGGUAUAUUUGUAGGGUGCACUGAUAAUGUAUAUUGAAUUAUGUACGAAUUUUCUGCUGUCAAACUAAUAUACACCUUGUACUUAGUUCUGGUUUCUAAUAAUAAAUUCCAUAUUUACUCAUAAAAAAAUAUAUUAAAUGUAACGCGUUUCAACUACAUUAAUGUCAUGGCGGGAUGGAAGUAACCUCAGUUUUUACACCGUUGGUAAUUCAACACCAAUUUCAUGCUUCAGAUACAAACUCCUCAAAUGUCAUAAAAGAUGGAUUUUUAACAAAACUUGUACAAGGUAAGGGGUCAGUGAGCUAAUGAAAUAAGGAAAUAUAAGUUUUCUGCUGCUUUAACGUGACGAGUUUGGCUGUUUGCGCCAUCUAAAAUUUUAGUCUGCUAUAAUUAAUUGGUGGGCAGUAGAUGUUAGAAGCCAAUAAAGGAAAGUAUUAUGCCAUUGGAGUAAUUCUAAUCCUCCACCCCCUUUUAGAUUGAUUUGAUUGAGGUGGAACCAGGAGAGAGAAGAAGAAGAAAUAACAGAAAAUAAUAGAUGUAAUAUUAUAUAAUGAAAAAGGUGGAGAGAAAUAGAAAAUAUAAAUACAUUGCACGCCAAAUUAUUUUUUCAUUUUUCAAGUAAGCUGCUACCAAAUUUAGGUAGUGUUAAAAGAUAUAUUAUAUAUAUGAAAUAUAGGUCCGAUUGCUUAAAAUUUAUUUGUUUUAAACUAUUUAUUUUAAUAAAAUUAUUAUUUUUUUAAUUUUUUUAAUAUGUUUAUUUAAACUGAUUGUACUUAAAAAUAUUUAUUUAUUUUAAGAAACAAAUCUUAUCAAUUUGUUUCUUAAAAAACGUUUAUCUAAAAAUCGUUCAUUAUUAAGUUUAAACAAAUUCACUCAUAAUUAACUUAGUUUCCAAUUUAAUUUUAUCACCCUAAUUUUAUUACUUUAUGAAUUUUAUGAUUCAAAUUUUUUUAUUUUUACAUAUUUUAUCAUCAUAUUAAUAACAAAAUAACACAGUUUUACAAAAUAUGAUAAUAAAAUAAUGUUAUUUUAUUUUUUUUAACAAGUCAACAGUGUUAAAAUGCACACAAAUUUGAAAUGAUAAAAAUUUUUAAAAAAACUUUGAAGAUAAAAUUUCAAAAUGAUAGUAAAAUUUAUAAUUAAAUUAAUAUUUUUCCAAAUUUAUAUACUCACAAGUUACAAAUAUGCAAAACCCAUUAGAGAGUCAGAGAAGGAAAGACAUUUAAGGAAUCUAAUGGAACAAUUCUUUUUAGAGCAUCUCAAAUGAGUAGCUUUGAGAAGAGAAAGUAACGUGACUUUUCUUAUUUUUUUAUUAAAUUUUUUACGACUUAUUUAAGUUGUUGUCCAUUUAUUAAAGAAGAAGAAAAAGUCAGUAACUUUUCUCCUCAAAGUUAUUUAAUUUUUUAUUAAACUAAUUUGUUAGAUCUCAAAUUUUAUUUCAUUUAAAAUAAAACAUAAUUUAAUUUUCGUCUCUCUUCCUUAUUGUAUCAUUAUAAAAGUAGGAAAACAAAUAUAAAUUAGAACAAACAUAAUAUUAAUUAAUAAGAAUAAUUUGUUUGUUGCUUUGAAUUUUCUAUUCUAAUAACAUUAGGUAGUAAUAAAAUUAAGUUGAGUUUCAUUUUUUUGAAAGAAUUAACUUAAUAAUUGUAUAUUUUUGUUUAAGUAUAAUAUUUUAGAUAAUGUAUUAUCACAUUAAAAAUUUAGAGUGAUAGACAAAUUAUGUUUAUUAAUCAAUAUUAUGUUUAUUUAAUUGUUUGUUUUAAGUUAGGUUUGUUUUCAUAUUUUUUUUAGUGUUUUUAUUAUAAUGAGAAAAAAAAUGGAGGAUAAAAGAUAAAAAUUAUAUUAUAUUUUACUCUUAAAUAAAACAAAAUUUGGAGUCCUAAAAAUUAGUUUAAUGAAAACUUGUUGACAUAGGUCUAAUCUAUUCAAUAAUCAUGUUAGCUUAUUUGUGCUCUUGGACUCCUUCAUUAACGGUAAUAGAUGAAUGAAUUUAUUGCAUUUCUUUCACUUUUGAUUACUAAAAUUUAAAUUUUCAUUUUUCGAAAAUGAAUUCGUUACUAUUUUAUACAUUUAAAAAUAAAAAUGAUUAUUUCAUCUUAUAAUUAUCAAAUAAUAUGCCUGUGAUGAUGAUUUUUUUCAAAAAUUGAAAAUGUCUUAUUGCCUAGUUAGGCUAUAGAAUCUUUUUGGCUCAUCUCAAUCGCAUGGCGACAUGGUUACCGCGUUCAUUGGGUAAUUAUAUUUAUGUAUUUAAAUUAAUUCUAUUAAAACCAAUUCUAUUAAAGCUGAAAACUAAAAUGACACUUAAUUUCUGUAAGAGUCGUGUAAUUAGCGAGCCAGAGUAAUGCAACCAAAGAGCUUCUUUCCCCACCUUAAUUCCUUUAUAAUGAAUUUGAUUGAUACCAUACAUAGCUAAGCUUUUUUUUCUUUCGAUUUACAUAGCCAAGCUUUAGCUGCUAUAUAUAAUAUGUUGUUUAUAUAAUUUUGACAUGUUGCAUUACAUGUUACUAACUGGUUGCAACCUCCAGUUUUGGUUAUCGAAUAUAUGCUGGCCGGCACCAACUACAAAAAAUUUCUGUAUGGCUGGCUACUAAUACUAUAUCUUCAAAUGUCUCACUUUACAUGGACUGAGUGCAUAACGGGCAAUUGCAGUGCUCAUAAGGAAUACGCAUGCAAUCAUUUUAUCAUCGCAGAUUGUUGCUUUUCCUUCACUGUAAAAAAAAAUAAAAAUAACAAUUAAUUGAGCACCGAAUGAACUAGACCGAUUGCAUGCAUUAUAAUACAUGAAGAAAAUUAUUUAUACUAAUCUUUUGUUUCAAGUUUUAAAGUUGACUUUUUUGUUUUACAAGCACAAUAACAAUCAAAUAACCAAUAAUUUAAUCAUUAAAAAGAUAAACAAACUCAUUAGAUAAAAUAAUAAUUAUGAUAAAAUAUGUUUAAGUCCUCUAUAUUUAAGUUGAAUUUUGUUUUUAGUCUUUCAAAUUGUGCAUUUUAGUCUCUGAAAUUUUAUUUUAAAAAAAUAGUCUUUGGGCUUACUCUCCAAAAUUUGCACAUUUUAAUUUUAGGUUAUUGAUUAAAGAUUAAAAACAUUUUUUUUUAUCAAAUUUAGGGACCAAAUUACUUGAUAUAAAUACUCAAGAACUAAAAACAAAUUUCAAUAAAAAUAUAAGGGAUUAAAAAUAUAUUUUAUUCUGAUAACUAACAAUCAUCAAAUUUUAUGACAAUCAUAUGUAACCUUUUAUAAUAUAAUUGUAAGAAUAAUUAAUUUUAAUAAAUAAAUAAAUAAAUGAGACUUAUAAUAGUAAAUACAUAUGUUUGCCUAGGUAAUAACAAUGAUAACAAGUAAUAGAAUUAUCAUUCUUAUUGUAUCUAUUAAUUAAUAUAUUAUUAGAUGUAUUAAUUAGUAUAUAUAUUUUUUACUAUAAAUAGUAUAUAUUAUUAAUUAUUAUACAUUUAUUAAAGUAUAUUCAUUAAAGAUUUUGAGGGAGGGGAGCUGAAGCCACUAACCCCCGUAAAUCCGUCCUUGCACAAAACACGACAUGAGAAUGGUUUUGUAUACUCCACAAUUUAAUAUCCAAUAAAAUAAUUUCUUUUUUAUUUUAAUUAGGAAACUCCAAGAUUGCUUUAACUUAUACAAAAUCUGAAUAACACAAAAAAAUAAAAAAUCGGAAUUAAAUGUUGCCCGAUUGUUGACUAACUUAUACAAAAUCUUAUUUAAAUGCUUAAAAUCGUGUCAUAAUAUAAUGAAUAUAUAUUUGCAAAUAUAUAUUUAUUAUAUAAUUGCAAAUAUAUAUUCUAAUUUUGAGUAUAAAUAACAGCAUGUGAGGGUGCAGCAAAACACACACUGAGUGCAACAAAGUUUUAACAUGAAAGGCAAUAAUACACUUUUGUUGCAUUUAUUCUACACUACUCUCUUCCUGUUUCUUGUAGUGUCAAGUUCAUCUUCAACAGGGAAUGAAAGUAACGAUGACACUAACAGUAAAGAAGUUUAUAUCGUGUACAUGGGAGCUGCAGAUUCAACAAAAGCUUCUCUUAAAAAUGAGCACGCUCAGAUUCUGAAUUCAGUGCUAAGAAGGUACGUAUAAUUACAUAAUAUUAUUAUUAUAUGGGCACCAAUUAAUUAAUUUGAUGAUUGAUGUGUUUACAUAUUUUGUGUGAAUGAAUUGAAGGAAUGAGAAUGCCCUAGUACGGAACUACAAGCAUGGUUUCUCUGGGUUCGCAGCUCGUCUAUCAAAAGAGGAGGCAAACUCAAUUGCUCAGAAACCUGGUGUGGUGUCUGUUUUCCCUGACCCCAUUCUGAAGCUCCACACUACACGUUCAUGGGAUUUCCUCAAAAGCCAAACUCGUGUCAAUAUCGACACCAAACCAAAUACGCUGUCCGGUUCUUCUUUUUCUUCAUCAGACGUCAUUCUUGGCGUCUUAGACACAGGUUGUCCAUAAUCAAAAAAAAAAAAAAAACAUGAUAUAUAUGUGUGUGUUUCAUUUUUUAAAAAUGUUAAUAAUAAUAUAUACAAAAAUGGAAUAUUUCAGGCAUAUGGCCAGAGGCGGCGAGUUUUAGCGACAAGGGUUUCGGUCCUGUUCCAUCCCGAUGGAAAGGCACCUGCAUGACAUCAAAAGACUUCAAUUCCUCUUGUUGUAACAGGUAAACUAAAAUGUGAAACCAUAAUAAUAAUAAUAAUAAUAAUAAUAAAUAUAUAAAGGCGAACGUUAUUAAUUAUUAAUUAUUAUUAGAAAAAAGGUGAUUUCAGCUUGCUGUUUAAGAAGGUUUGGAAUGAAUCCUAUUUAAUUAGGUAGUGGAUGGAAUAACGGUUAGGUUUGUAUUUAUAGGAAGAUAAUUGGCGCGAGGUUUUACCCUAACCCAGAGGAGAAAACGGCAAGGGAUUUCAACGGACAUGGGACUCACGUUUCGUCGACGGCAGUGGGCGUGCCGGUGAGUGGCGCAUCGUUCUAUGGUCUGGCGGCGGGGACGGCAAGGGGUGGGUCCCCUGAGUCAAGGUUGGCGGUUUACAAAGUGUGUGGGGCUUUUGGGUCAUGUCCUGGGUCGGCCAUUCUUGCGGGGUUUGACGAUGCCAUUCACGACGGAGUGGAUAUCUUGUCGCUGUCGCUCGGUGGAUUCGGUGGAACCAAAACCGAUUUGACCACCGACCCGAUUGCGAUUGGAGCAUUCCACUCCGUCCAGCGCGGCAUCCUGGUGGUCUGCGCCGCCGGGAACGACGGAGAACCAUUCACCGUUCUCAACGACGCACCUUGGAUUUUAACCGUUGCAGCUUCCACCAUCGACCGUGAUCUUCAAUCCGACGUGGUCUUGGGUAAUAACCAAGUCGUCAAGGUACCUACAUAUUCUACUUUAAAUCGGUGCAGUGCAACUAAUGUCAUCUUUUCUCAUCGUUGAUAAUUAUUAAACUUCAGGGAAGAGCCAUAAAUUUCUCCCCUCUUUUAAAUUCUCCCGAUUAUCCAAUGAUAUAUGCUGAGUCUGCUGCCAGGGCAAAUAUCUCCAACAUAACUGAUGCAAGGUACGUACUCUAAAAACCAUUUGUCGUUUCGUAUUGGACAAACUUCAAAUCAAGCAAUCAACUAAGCAAUAACAAACAAGUGUUUCAUCACCAAUUAUAUGUAAUACUCAUAUAUAACCUCUUAGCAAAUGAUUAAAUCAUUUGUCACAUGCAGACAAUGCCACCCAGAUUCAUUAGAUCCAAAAAAAGUCAUAGGGAAGAUUGUGGUUUGUGAUGGAAAAAAUGACAUUUAUUAUUCAACUGAUGAGAAAAUUGUCAUAGUGAAGGCGUUGGGAGGAAUAGGUCUGGUUCAUAUUACUGAUCAAUCUGGAUCAGUAGCAUUUUAUUAUGUGGACUUCCCAGUAACAGAGGUAAAAUCAAAACAUGGCGACGCAAUCCUCCAGUACAUCAACUCAACUAGGUAAGGAUAUUAUAUAGCACUUGAAAGAAGCAACAUUCUUGAUUAAUUUUAGAAUUUGCUUUGAUCACGAGUUAUUUUCUUUUAAUUCUUUGUGCAUAUAUGUAAUAUAAAGCCAUCCAGUGGGAACAAUACUAGCAACAGUUACAAUUCCUGAUUAUAAGCCUGCUCCCCGGGUGGGUUAUUUUUCAUCAAGAGGGCCUUCAUUGAUUACAAGCAAUGUUCUCAAGGUAUGAUAUGACGAUCGAUAGAAUUAUACAUAUCAAUCAUCAUCCUCAAUAUGCUCAUUGCUCAAACACUAAACAGAACAUUCAUUCUUUCUUUCUUUCUUUCUUUCUAGCCUGAUAUUGCAGCCCCGGGAGUUAACAUUCUCGCUGCAUGGUUUGGAAAUGACACAUCAGAGGUUCCAAAAGGAAGAAAGCCCUCACUAUAUCGCAUACUCUCAGGAACUUCCAUGGCUACUCCACAUGUUUCAGGGCUUGCAUGCAGUGUCAAAAGAAAAAACCCCACUUGGAGUGCCUCCGCAAUCAAAUCUGCCAUCAUGACUUCAGGUCACCCAUUUGAUAAUGUGAUCUAAGUAAGUAAUGUGAUCCAGCAAAAUGUACCAUACCAACUCAUAUCAUUCUAUAAAUUAAUAUGUAUGCAGCAAUUCAAAAUGACAAUUUGAAGGGUCCCAUAACAACGGAUUCAGGGUUGAUAGCCACACCUUAUGACUAUGGAGCAGGGGCAAUUACAACAUCUGAACCAUUGCAACCGGGGCUAGUUUAUGAAACCAACAACGUUGACUACUUGAACUAUUUG
RNAcentral lists this long non-coding RNA (10802 nucleotides) under Glycine max (soybean). RNAcentral describes it as "long non-coding RNA (GMAX_LNC001156)". The record is from RNAcentral. Lineage: Eukaryota; Viridiplantae; Streptophyta; Magnoliopsida; Fabales; Fabaceae.